Molecule: small nuclear RNA, 104 nt
Organism: Echinops telfairi (small Madagascar hedgehog)
Lineage: Eukaryota; Metazoa; Chordata; Mammalia; Afrosoricida; Tenrecidae
Source: Ensembl
GUGCUUGUUUCAGUAGCACAUUUAUUAAAAUUGGAAUGAUACAGAGAUUAGGAUGGCCCAUGCUCAAGGAUGACACCCAAAUUCGUGAAGUGUUCCAUAUUUAA